This 74-nucleotide transfer RNA is filed under the name Loxodonta africana (African savanna elephant). It matches the Rfam family "tRNA". From Rfam's summary of the family: Transfer RNA (tRNA) molecules are approximately 80 nucleotides in length. The record is from Rfam by way of RNAcentral. Lineage: Eukaryota; Metazoa; Chordata; Mammalia; Proboscidea; Elephantidae.
GCCUCUGUGGUGUAAACGCUUAACAUGCUCAGCUGUUAACUGAAAGGCUGGAGGUUCAAGUCCACCCAUAUAUA